AUGCUGAUACUGGAGCUGGGGGCGUGCAUCAUCCCAAUGACGCUCAUCUUCGUGCCGCUCCGGCGGCUGGUCCUGCUGGUGGCCAAGCUGCAGGAGCUGGAGGAAUGCUUCAUGCGCCCCAGGCCGCCGCCCCCGCACAUGUCCGCCGAGAUGUACGGCCACAUGUCCACCCUGCACACCAUGGCCAUCAUGGUGUGA
This 198-nucleotide ribosomal RNA is filed under the name Triticum aestivum (bread wheat). RNAcentral's name for it is "partial small subunit ribosomal RNA". Lineage: Eukaryota; Viridiplantae; Streptophyta; Magnoliopsida; Poales; Poaceae. The record is from RNAcentral.